RNAcentral lists this long non-coding RNA (2131 nucleotides) under Gallus gallus (chicken). RNAcentral describes it as "lncRNA (ENSGALG00010020344.1)". Lineage: Eukaryota; Metazoa; Chordata; Aves; Galliformes; Phasianidae. The record is from RNAcentral.
UUCAGACAUCGUGGUUUCAGAUGUGCAAGGUUCUGCUUUACACCUCUUCAGACCGAGAGAAGCAGAGCUGCACUCAGUAUCAGCGGGUUUUUCCACUACCGCUCUAAAAUCUUCUGGAGUGCUAAAAGGCAGAGAAGAAUCUACGUCUGAUGAUUUGGAGCUCAGAAAGGAGGUGCUCCAGCCUUCAUAAGGUCUUCAGCCUCACCCCGUGGACAUCCAGGCUGCGUACUGUGAAGUUCUGUCUGUCUUUACAUCCUGUCUGCAGCCAUUACAGAGUCCUGGAGUCCUGUAAGGACUGGGAUUUGAUCAUCCAGCUCCGAUCAGAAUCUGUCCAGAUGGAUGGAUUCCAAGGGACAGCUCAUGGCUUGGAAAGAUAGGGCAUAUAAGAUAAAAUGACAAACAGCGAUGCUCUUGAGAAGGCAAAUGAGGAGCUUCUUUAUUUUAUGGUGUCAUGAAAAAAGGGUAGUGGUGGAUACCAAGAAACUAAACUAAACACCUGGAGCUGGCCUCUGCUGACAGCAAGCUCCUGAGCCCUGCAGUGUCUGGAUAUCAUCAGUUUAACAAUUUCUAAGGUUAGACACAACCAAGCUCUCAAGAAUUCUUAACGCUUCUUAUCUUCAGCUAAUCGCCAUAGAUCAUGGAACUUAAAAGCCUCACAAAGACACGUGUCAGAAGUCUGAUUUUAAGGAUCCACAAGUCUUCCUGGCCGAACUGUUGCCUCCAUGUGAGGAAUGAUCCCAUGACUGAACCUGUUCCACCUGCUCUGUCCUGAGGAGGGAAGAGGAGCCCUGUUCUGUCUGAUGGGAGUCUCCCCUGAAAUGUGAAACGUCUGGAAGGAGAAAAGGGCAAGGAGAAAACUGGGUGGGAAACCAUCAUUUGCACAGUGUGUGAAAGGUGAAGAGCUGAGGGGAGAGGAACGGUCUGGAAAUGUGAAGGAAAAAAAAAAAGAAAAACACAUAAAGAAGACAGCAGGAAGAUGGGAGAGGAGCAGUAAUGAGUUUAAUAAGAUGAGAAGGUGGAAGAGGAAGGCUGUUAUCUCUGCAGUUGUGCAGGACAGUGUUGGUUGCACAGAGUGGCCGUGAGGAAGGAGUUCAUUUACAGGAAAAGAGCUCGCUGAGCUAAGGGCAGCCAGGAGGACUCAGAGCAACGGGAAGCAAGGAAAGCAGUUCAUAGAAUCAUAGAGCUGGAAGGGACCCUUAAAGGCCAUCUGGUCCAACCCCCUGCAAUAAGCAGGGACACCCACAGCUCCAACAGGUGCUCAGAGCCCCAUCCAGCCUGACCUGGGGUGUCUGCAGGGACGGGACAACCCCCAGCUCUCUGGGCAACCUGUGCCAGUGCUGCACUACCCUUACCAUAAAAAAUGUUUUCCUUAUAUCCAAUCUAAAUCUCCCUUCUUUUACUUUGAAAUCAUUUCCUUUGUCCUAUCAAAACAGCCCCUGCUAAAGCGUCCCUAUCCUUCUUUCUUACAGCCCCCCAUUAGUUACUGAAGGGCUGCUCUCAGGUCUCCCCAGAGCCUUCCCUUCUCCAGGCUGCACAGCCCCAGCUCUCUCAGCCUGUCCUCAAAGGGAGGCAUUCCAUCCCUUGGAGCAUUUCUGUCCUCCCCCUCUGGAUGUGCUCCAACAGAUCCGUGUCUCUCCUUCAGCAAAAUUCCAGCUGAGGGCACCGCAGAGUUGCCCCCAUGUCAAUUUAGUGCCUGAGCUCCGUGACCCUCGUGGGACCCAGCAGGAUGACCAUUGCCAUGCCUUGUAUUCUUCGUCAGGUGGGAGCACUGUGUGACCACACCUGCUGCUGCUAAGCUCACAGCAUCGUGCAGGUGGGCUGCGCAGUAGCAGCAGAAGGGAGGACAUUGCAGUUCCCCAACCUGCUUCACGCUCUGAAGUUUGGAAUGCAAUUAAGCGCAUUUAAUUCUGACUUGCAUUAACUGCAUGCAGAAACCAGAAAGAAAUCCACCCCAAAAGAAACCCUGCGCACGGAGUGCCAGAAAUGUUAAUCACACGCAGCUAAUCCCAAAAGACGGGGCUGUAACUGUAAACUCUGCAACAGCACAAACAACAUUUCUUUAGAUGUGCUGCAUGCGUUUCCCUUCUUAAAUGCAGCACUUCAUAGAAUCUUAGGACGGUUUUGUGUAGAC